UCACGAAACAUCGCGGCUGCAAAUUUC
This 27-nucleotide non-coding RNA is filed under the name Mus musculus (house mouse). Lineage: Eukaryota; Metazoa; Chordata; Mammalia; Rodentia; Muridae. The record is from RNAcentral.